AAAUGUGAUGAUUUUAGAAGUCAUGAAUGUAUAAUUUAUUAUAUAGAUAGUAUAAUGUAUAUAAUAGAUUUA
RNAcentral lists this transfer RNA (72 nucleotides) under Samia ricini (Indian eri silkmoth). Its description in RNAcentral is "tRNA-Leu". Lineage: Eukaryota; Metazoa; Arthropoda; Insecta; Lepidoptera; Saturniidae. The record is from RNAcentral.